RNAcentral lists this ribosomal RNA (253 nucleotides) under uncultured bacterium. Its description in RNAcentral is "partial 16S ribosomal RNA". It matches the Rfam family "Bacterial small subunit ribosomal RNA", at positions 524 to 776 of the family's 1533-position model. The record is from RNAcentral.
UACGUAGGUGGCAAGCGUUGUCCGGAUUUAUUGGGUUUAAAGGGUGCGUAGGCGGUCUAUUAAGUCAGUGCUGAAAUAUCCCGGCUUAACCGGGAGGGUGGCAUUGAUACUGUAGGACUUGAGUAAAGUUGAGGUAAGCGGAAUUGACGGUGUAGCGGUGAAAUGCUUAGAUAUCGUCAAGAACACCUAUUGCGAAGGCAGCUUACUAAGCUUUAACUGACGCUGAGGCACGAAUGUGUGGGGAUCAAACAGG